Molecule: long non-coding RNA, 367 nt
Filed under: Homo sapiens (human)
Lineage: Eukaryota; Metazoa; Chordata; Mammalia; Primates; Hominidae
Description: non-protein coding lnc-DUPD1-7:1
Source: RNAcentral
CCAAUAAGGAAUUCAUGUUCUGCAACUUAGAAAAGAUCCCGAACAGUGCUUAUGUGAAAGCAAGCUGGCCAACAAGAAUAUUUUAGACUUCCCUAGUCAGAUAAAGUACCACUGUGCUGAUCCUUUUAUGUAGUAAUGGGCCUGAAUUACAUAUCCCAACCUGUAAUUGCUUUUUCAUUGUUGGAAACAAGUUUUAUAUAAAUGCAUUAGACAAACUAUACUAGCUGAAGCCUGACAUGGAAGAACUAACAAAGGUCUCCAAAGUGAAGGCAGACUUAUCUCCAUAUUAGAAUACUGAUAACUUAAGACCAAGAUAGAAACCCAACCCAAGAUAGAUGGGGAUCUGAAACCUGCAAAGCAUGGCAGC